UGGGGAAUUUUGGACAAUGGGCGAAAGCCUGAUCCAGCAAUGCCGCGUGUGUGAAGAAGGCCUUCGGGUUGUAAAGCACUUUUGUCCGGAAAGAAAUCCUUGGCUCUAAUACAGUCGGGGGAUGACGGUACCGGAAGAAUAAGCACCGGCUAACUACGUGCCAGCAGCCGCGGUAAUACGUAGGGUGCAAGCGUUAAUCGGAAUUACUGGGCGUAAAGCGUGCGCAGGCGGUUUGCUAAGACCGAUGUGAAAUCCCCGGGCUCAACCUGGGAACUGCAUUGGUGACUGGCAGGCUAGAGUAUGGCAGAGGGGGGUAGAAUUCCACGUGUAGCAGUGAAAUGCGUAGAGAUGUGGAGGAAUACCGAUGGCGAAGGCAGCCCCCUGGGCCAAUACUGACGCUCAUGCACGAAAGCGUGGGGAGCAAACAGGAUUAGAUACCCUGGUAGUCCACGCCCUAAACGAUGUCAACUAGUUGUUGGGGACUUCAUUUCCUUAGUAACGUAGCUAACGCGUGAAGUUGACCGCCUGGGGAGUAC
This 536-nucleotide ribosomal RNA is filed under the name uncultured bacterium. RNAcentral's name for it is "partial 16S ribosomal RNA". It matches the Rfam family "Bacterial small subunit ribosomal RNA", at positions 355 to 883 of the family's 1533-position model. The record is from RNAcentral.